GACGAACGCUGGCGGCGUGCUUAACACAUGCCAGUCGAACGGAAAGGCCCUGCUUUUGUGGGGUGCUCGAGUGGCGAACGGGUGAGUAACACGUGAGUAACCUGCCCUUGACUGUGGGAUAACUUCUGGAAACUGGGGCUAAUACCGGCUAGGAGCUCCUGCUGCCUGGUGGGGGGUGGAAAGUUUCGGCGGUUGGGGAUGGACUCGCGGCUUAUCAGCUUGUUGGUGGGGUAGUGGCUUACCAAGGCUUUGACGGAUAGCCGGCCUGAGAGGGUGACCGGCCACAUUGGGACUGAGAUACGGCCCAGACGCCUACGGGAGGCAGCAGUGGGGAAUAUUGCGCAAUGGGGGGAAGCCUGAUGCAGCAACGCCGCGUGCGGGAUGACGGCCUUCGGGUUGUAAACCGAUUUCGCCUGUGACGAAGCGUGAGUGACGGUAAUGGGUAAAGAAGCACCGGCUAACUACGUG
This 468-nucleotide ribosomal RNA is filed under the name uncultured bacterium. Its description in RNAcentral is "partial 16S ribosomal RNA". It matches the Rfam family "Bacterial small subunit ribosomal RNA", at positions 28 to 507 of the family's 1533-position model. The record is from RNAcentral.